UGCAAGCCGAACGGCAGCGCGGGGUAACCUGGCGGCGAGUGGCGAACGGGUGAGUAAUAUAUCGGAACGUACCCAAGAGUGGGGGAUAACGUAGCGAAAGUUACGCUAAUACCGCAUACGAUCUAAGGAUGAAAGCAGGGGACCGCAAGGCCUUGUGCUCCUGGAGCGGCCGAUAUCUGAUUAGCUAGUUGGUAGGGUAAAGGCCUACCAAGGCAUCGAUCAGUAGCUGGUCUGAGAGGACGACCAGCCACACUGGAACUGAGACACGGUCCAGACUCCUACGGGAGGCAGCAGUGGGGAAUUUUGGACAAUGGGCGCAAGCCUGAUCCAGCAAUGCCGCGUGAGUGAAGAAGGCCUUCGGGUUGUAAAGCUCUUUUGUCAGGGAAGAAACGGGCGGGGCUAAUAUCCUCGUCUAAUGACGGUACCUGAAGAAUAAGCACCGGCUAACUACGUGCCAGCAGCCGCGGUAAUACGUAGGGUGCAAGCGUUAAUCGGAAUUACUGGGCGUAAAGCGUGCGCAGGCGGUUUUGUAAGUCUGUCGUGAAAUCCCCGGGCUCAACCUGGGAAUGGCGAUGGAGACUGCAAGGCUAGAAUCUGGCAGAGGGGGGUAGAAUUCCACGUGUAGCAGUGAAAUGCGUAGAGAUGUGGAGGAACACCGAUGGCGAAGGCAGCCCC
This 675-nucleotide ribosomal RNA is filed under the name uncultured soil bacterium. RNAcentral's name for it is "bacterial SSU rRNA". It matches the Rfam family "Bacterial small subunit ribosomal RNA", at positions 56 to 728 of the family's 1533-position model. The record is from RNAcentral.